GGCAGUGUUGUCUAGUGGAUAGAACACUUGUCUGCAAUUCAGGAGACCUCGGUUCCAUUCCUGGCUGUGCCA
This 72-nucleotide transfer RNA is filed under the name Chelonia mydas (Green sea turtle). It matches the Rfam family "tRNA". Rfam says of the family: Transfer RNA (tRNA) molecules are approximately 80 nucleotides in length. Their secondary structure includes four short double-helical elements and three loops (D, anti-codon, and T loops). Further hydrogen bonds mediate the characteristic L-shaped molecular structure. tRNAs have two regions of fundamental functional importance: the anti-codon, which is responsible for specific mRNA codon recognition, and the 3' end, to which the tRNAs corresponding amino acid is attached (by aminoacyl-tRNA synthetases). tRNAs cope with the degeneracy of the genetic code in two manners: having more than one tRNA (with a specific anti-codon) for a particular amino acid; and 'wobble' base-pairing, i.e. permitting non-standard base-pairing at the 3rd anti-codon position. The record is from Rfam by way of RNAcentral. Lineage: Eukaryota; Metazoa; Chordata; Testudines; Cheloniidae.